Molecule: ribosomal RNA, 674 nt
Filed under: Escherichia coli
Lineage: Bacteria; Pseudomonadati; Pseudomonadota; Gammaproteobacteria; Enterobacterales; Enterobacteriaceae
Description: partial 23S ribosomal RNA
Rfam family: Bacterial large subunit ribosomal RNA
Source: RNAcentral
CGGACAGUGUCUGGUGGGUAGUUUGACUGGGGCGGUCUCCUCCUAAAGAGUAACGGAGGAGCACGAAGGUUGGCUAAUCCUGGUCGGACAUCAGGAGGUUAGUGCAAUGGCAUAAGCCAGCUUGACUGCGAGCGUGACGGCGCGAGCAGGUGCGAAAGCAGGUCAUAGUGAUCCGGUGGUUCUGAAUGGAAGGGCCAUCGCUCAACGGAUAAAAGGUACUCCGGGGAUAACAGGCUGAUACCGCCCAAGAGUUCAUAUCGACGGCGGUGUUUGGCACCUCGAUGUCGGCUCAUCACAUCCUGGGGCUGAAGUAGGUCCCAAGGGUAUGGCUGUUCGCCAUUUAAAGUGGUACGCGAGCUGGGUUUAGAACGUCGUGAGACAGUUCGGUCCCUAUCUGCCGUGGGCGCUGGAGAACUGAGGGGGGCUGCUCCUAGUACGAGAGGACCGGAGUGGACGCAUCACUGGUGUUCGGGUUGUCAUGCCAAUGGCACUGCCCGGUAGCUAAAUGCGGAAGAGAUAAGUGCUGAAAGCAUCUAAGCACGAAACUUGCCCCGAGAUGAGUUCUCCCUGACUCCUUGAGAGUCCUGAAGGAACGUUGAAGACGACGACGUUGAUAGGCCGGGUGUGUAAGCGCAGCGAUGCGUUGAGCUAACCGGUACUAAUGAACCGUGAGG